RNAcentral lists this ribosomal RNA (465 nucleotides) under uncultured bacterium. RNAcentral describes it as "partial 16S ribosomal RNA". It matches the Rfam family "Bacterial small subunit ribosomal RNA", at positions 28 to 507 of the family's 1533-position model. The record is from RNAcentral.
GACGAACGCUGGCGGCGUGCUUAACACAUGCAAGUCGAACGGAAAGGCCCUGCUUGCAGGGUACUCGAGUGGCGAACGGGUGAGUAACACGUGGGUGAUCUGCCCUGCACUUCGGGAUAAGCCUGGGAAACUGGGUCUAAUACCGGAUAGGAGCCAUUUUUAGUGUGAUGGUUGGAAAGUUUUUUCGGUGUAGGAUGAGCUCGCGGCCUAUCAGCUUGUUGGUGGGGUAAUGGCCUACCAAGGCGGCGACGGGUAGCCGGCCUGAGAGGGUGGACGGCCACAUUGGGACUGAGAUACGGCCCAGACUCCUACGGGAGGCAGCAGUGGGGAAUAUUGCACAAUGGGCGCAAGCCUGAUGCUGCGACGCCGCGUGGGGGAUGACGGCCUUCGGGUUGUAAACUCCUUUCGCUAGGGACGAAGCUUUUUGUGACGGUACCUAGAUAAGAAGCACCGGCUAACUACGUG